This is an unclassified non-coding RNA of Papio anubis (olive baboon), 148 nucleotides long. It matches the Rfam family "Metazoan signal recognition particle RNA". Rfam says of the family: The signal recognition particle (SRP) is a universally conserved ribonucleoprotein. It is involved in the co-translational targeting of proteins to membranes. The record is from Ensembl. Lineage: Eukaryota; Metazoa; Chordata; Mammalia; Primates; Cercopithecidae.
GCCGGGCGUGGUAGUGCACGCCUGUAGUCCCAGCUACUCUGGAGGCUGAGACAGGAGAGUCGCUUGGACCUGGGAGGUGGAGGUUGCAGUGAGCCGAGAUCAUGCCACUGCAUUCCAGCCUAGGUGACAGAGCAAUACUCUGUCUCAA